GCUGGGCGUGGUGGCUCAUGCCUGUAAUCCCAGCAGCUCCAGAAGCUGAGACAGGAGGAUCCCCAAUUCAAAGCCAGACUCAGCAAAAGUGAGGCUCUAAGCAACUCAGAGAGACCCUAUCUCUA
Molecule: small RNA, 125 nt
Filed under: Marmota monax (woodchuck)
Lineage: Eukaryota; Metazoa; Chordata; Mammalia; Rodentia; Sciuridae
Source: RNAcentral